This 885-nucleotide ribosomal RNA is filed under the name uncultured organism. RNAcentral's name for it is "bacterial SSU rRNA". It matches the Rfam family "Bacterial small subunit ribosomal RNA", at positions 20 to 928 of the family's 1533-position model. The record is from RNAcentral.
UGGCUCAGCUUGACGCUGGCGGCAUGGCUAAGCAUGCAGUCGAACGAGAACUGGCUUCGGCCAGGUGACAGUGGCGAACGGGCGAGUAACACCUUCCUAACGUACCCUGCAAUCAGGUAUAGCUCGGGGAAACCCGUGGUAAUACCUGAUGAUCCCACAGGAUCGCAUGACCCUGUGGGCAAAGGUCCGCCGUUGCAGGAUCGGGGAAGGCGCUAUCAGGUUGUUGGUAAGGUAACGGCUUACCAAGCCUAAGACGGCUAGCGGGCGUGAGAGCGCGACCCGCCGCAUCGGGACUGAGACACUGCCCGGACUCCUACGGGAGGCUGCAGCAACGAAUCUUCCGCAAUGCGCGAAAGCGUGACGGAGCAAUGCCGCGUGUAGGAUGAAGCCCCUCGGGGUGUAAACUACUGUCAGGGCUUAGGAAAUUUGACUAAACCCAAAGGAAGGGCCGGCUAACUUCGUGCCAGCAGCCGCGGUAAUACGAAGGGCCCGAGCGUUAAGCGGAUUCACUGGGCUUAAAGCGUGCGUAGGCUGGCCAGUAAGUGUCUUGUGAAAUCCCACUGCUCAACGGUGGAAUUGCAGGGCAAACUGCUGGUCUUGAGGCCGGAAGGGGUCGUCGGAACUCUAGGUGUAGCGGUGAAAUGCGUAGAUAUCUAGAGGAACGCCAAAGACGAAGGUAGACGACUGGGCCGGUUCUGACGCUGAGGCACGAAAGCGUGGGGAGCAAACAGGAUUAGAUACCCUGGUAGUCCACGCCGUAAACGAUGUACACUAGGUCCGGGAGGUUCUGACACCCUCCGGGUCGAAGGAAAACCAUUAAGUUGUACCGCCUGGGGAGUACGGUCGCAAGGCUAAAACUCCAAGAAUUGACGGGGGCUCACACAA